Zingiber officinale is the source of this 196-nucleotide small nuclear RNA. RefSeq annotates it as U2 spliceosomal RNA. The record is from RefSeq and is a predicted model, not a curated record. The transcript has a single exon. Lineage: Eukaryota; Viridiplantae; Streptophyta; Magnoliopsida; Zingiberales; Zingiberaceae.
AUACCUUUCUCGGCCUUUUGGCUAAGAUCAAGUGUAGUAUCUGUUCUUAUCAGUUUAAUAUCUGAUACGUGGAUCAUUGGUUCACUAUGAUAUUAAAUUAAUUUUUUAUUGGGGAGGGUCCACUACAGUAGUUUACUACUGGGUCCCUUGCGCGUCGCCUUUGUCUUGCACUAAUGCAAGGGCUGGCGCACCCGAC